GCCCAGACUCCUACGGGAGGCAGCAGUGGGGAAUAUUGCACAAUGGGGGAAACCCUGAUGCAGCGACGCCGCGUGAGCGAUGAAGUAUUUCGGCAUGUAAAGCUCUAUCAGCAGGGAAGAAAAUGACGGUACCUGACUAAGAAGCCCCGGCUAACUACGUGCCAGCAGCCGCGGUAAUACGUAGGGGGCAAGCGUUAUCCGGAUUUACUGGGUGUAAAGGGAGCGUAGACGGCUGUGCAAGCCAGAUGUGAAAGCCCGGGGCUCAACCCCGGGACUGCAUUUGGAACUGUGUGGCUGGAGUGUCGGAGAGGCAGGCGGAAUUCCUAGUGUAGCGGUGAAAUGCGUAGAUAUUAGGAGGAACACCAGUGGCGAAGGCGGCCUGCUGGACGAUGACUGACGUUGAGGCUCGAAAGCGUGGGGAGCAAACAGGAUUAGAUACCCCCGUAA
RNAcentral lists this ribosomal RNA (447 nucleotides) under uncultured bacterium. RNAcentral describes it as "bacterial SSU rRNA". It matches the Rfam family "Bacterial small subunit ribosomal RNA", at positions 329 to 793 of the family's 1533-position model. The record is from RNAcentral.